RNAcentral lists this ribosomal RNA (1710 nucleotides) under Pseudomonas aeruginosa PAO1-GFP. RNAcentral describes it as "bacterial LSU rRNA". It matches the Rfam family "Bacterial large subunit ribosomal RNA", at positions 1236 to 2925 of the family's 2925-position model. The record is from RNAcentral. RNAcentral also lists the same sequence under 1 other name. Lineage: Bacteria; Pseudomonadati; Pseudomonadota; Gammaproteobacteria; Pseudomonadales; Pseudomonadaceae.
GCGUUCUGUAAGCCUGUGAAGGUGAGUUGAGAAGCUUGCUGGAGGUAUCAGAAGUGCGAAUGCUGACAUGAGUAACGACAAUGGGUGUGAAAAACACCCACGCCGAAAGACCAAGGGUUCCUGCGCAACGUUAAUCGACGCAGGGUUAGUCGGUUCCUAAGGCGAGGCUGAAAAGCGUAGUCGAUGGGAAACAGGUUAAUAUUCCUGUACUUCUGGUUACUGCGAUGGAGGGACGGAGAAGGCUAGGCCAGCUUGGCGUUGGUUGUCCAAGUUUAAGGUGGUAGGCUGAAAUCUUAGGUAAAUCCGGGGUUUCAAGGCCGAGAGCUGAUGACGAGUCGUCUUUUAGAUGACGAAGUGGUUGAUGCCAUGCUUCCAAGAAAAGCUUCUAAGCUUCAGGUAACCAGGAACCGUACCCCAAACCGACACAGGUGGUCGGGUAGAGAAUACCAAGGCGCUUGAGAGAACUCGGGUGAAGGAACUAGGCAAAAUGGCACCGUAACUUCGGGAGAAGGUGCGCCGGCUAGGGUGAAGGAUUUACUCCGUAAGCUCUGGCUGGUCGAAGAUACCAGGCCGCUGCGACUGUUUAUUAAAAACACAGCACUCUGCAAACACGAAAGUGGACGUAUAGGGUGUGACGCCUGCCCGGUGCCGGAAGGUUAAUUGAUGGGGUUAGCGCAAGCGAAGCUCUUGAUCGAAGCCCCGGUAAACGGCGGCCGUAACUAUAACGGUCCUAAGGUAGCGAAAUUCCUUGUCGGGUAAGUUCCGACCUGCACGAAUGGCGUAACGAUGGCGGCGCUGUCUCCACCCGAGACUCAGUGAAAUUGAAAUCGCUGUGAAGAUGCAGUGUAUCCGCGGCUAGACGGAAAGACCCCGUGAACCUUUACUGUAGCUUUGCACUGGACUUUGAGCCUGCUUGUGUAGGAUAGGUGGGAGGCUUUGAAGCGUGGACGCCAGUUCGCGUGGAGCCAUCCUUGAAAUACCACCCUGGCAUGCUUGAGGUUCUAACUCUGGUCCGUAAUCCGGAUCGAGGACAGUGUAUGGUGGGCAGUUUGACUGGGGCGGUCUCCUCCUAAAGAGUAACGGAGGAGUACGAAGGUGCGCUCAGACCGGUCGGAAAUCGGUCGCAGAGUAUAAAGGCAAAAGCGCGCUUGACUGCGAGACAGACACGUCGAGCAGGUACGAAAGUAGGUCUUAGUGAUCCGGUGGUUCUGUAUGGAAGGGCCAUCGCUCAACGGAUAAAAGGUACUCCGGGGAUAACAGGCUGAUACCGCCCAAGAGUUCAUAUCGACGGCGGUGUUUGGCACCUCGAUGUCGGCUCAUCACAUCCUGGGGCUGAAGCCGGUCCCAAGGGUAUGGCUGUUCGCCAUUUAAAGUGGUACGCGAGCUGGGUUUAGAACGUCGUGAGACAGUUCGGUCCCUAUCUGCCGUGGACGUUUGAGAUUUGAGAGGGGCUGCUCCUAGUACGAGAGGACCGGAGUGGACGAACCUCUGGUGUUCCGGUUGUCACGCCAGUGGCAUUGCCGGGUAGCUAUGUUCGGAAAAGAUAACCGCUGAAAGCAUCUAAGCGGGAAACUUGCCUCAAGAUGAGAUCUCACUGGGAACUUGAUUCCCCUGAAGGGCCGUCGAAGACUACGACGUUGAUAGGCUGGGUGUGUAAGCGUUGUGAGGCGUUGAGCUAACCAGUACUAAUUGCCCGUGAGGCUUGACCAU